GUCUACGGCCAUACCACCCUGAACGCACCCAAUCUUGUCUGAUCUCGGGAGCUAAGCAGAGUUAGUACUUGGAUGGGAGAAAUAAGAAUUGGCCGGAUA
This 99-nucleotide ribosomal RNA is filed under the name Propithecus coquereli (Coquerel's sifaka). Lineage: Eukaryota; Metazoa; Chordata; Mammalia; Primates; Indriidae. The record is from RNAcentral.